UUUAAAGGGCCGCGGUAAUUUGACCGUGCGAAGGUAGCAUAGUCAGUAGUCUUUUAAUUGAAGGCUUGAAUGAAAGGUUGGACGAGAGAUAAGCUGUCUCUUUUGCGUGGUUUGAAUUUAACCUUUGAGUGAAAAGGCUCAAAUUUCUUAGUGGGACGAUAAGACCCUAUAAAACUUAAUAUAAGUUAAAUUGGAUUUGUGAUUUCAGUAAAAAGUGGUCCUUUUAAGUUUAUAUUUCGUUGGGGAGAUGUAGAUAUAAUGUGUAACUGUUUAUAAAACUAAAUAAUCAUAAUUAGUUUGUGAUCCUGCAGAUGUGGAUUGAAAGAGUAAGUUACUUUAGGGAUAACAGCGUAAUUUUCUUUGAGAGUUCUUAUCGACAAGAGUAGUUGCGACCUCGAUGUUGAAUUAAAAUUUUAGCUAGGUGUAGCCGUUUAGCUGGUAGGUC
RNAcentral lists this ribosomal RNA (445 nucleotides) under Macrobrachium equidens. RNAcentral's name for it is "partial 16S ribosomal RNA". It matches the Rfam family "Bacterial large subunit ribosomal RNA", at positions 1922 to 2577 of the family's 2925-position model. The record is from RNAcentral. Lineage: Eukaryota; Metazoa; Arthropoda; Malacostraca; Decapoda; Palaemonidae.